UAUGUCGGUUGCCUAAGUAUUCAAUACUAAUGUAUGUGUGUUUAGACACAAAUAUCUAAAUAAAAAUUUCACUUAUACAUAUUGAUUGAGAUCUUAACACAUGAAAUUUCUAUUUUUAAGUAUUUUUGGAAUACUUCAUAGUGUAUCUUUUUUGGUUAGACUUCAUAAUAGAUGUUCUAUGAUAGUUGUUGAUUGCAUCAUGAGAAAUGACUUUCUUUAGUUUGUUACUAUUACUAAAAAGAACAUCUAUAGUAAGAAAAUUAAUCAUUUUGAAGUAUAAUUAUUGCUCAAAAAGUCCUUGAGAAGAUAAUCUUGUCGAAAAUCCAAAAUGUAAUAAUUGUACUCAAUAUGCAAAACUAGGCCAAUUUUCCAAAAAAUAC
RNAcentral lists this long non-coding RNA (380 nucleotides) under Physcomitrium patens. Its description in RNAcentral is "long non-coding RNA (PPAT_LNC004335)". The record is from RNAcentral. Lineage: Eukaryota; Viridiplantae; Streptophyta; Bryopsida; Funariales; Funariaceae.